CUUGUCCCUUUAAGCAUUACAGAUGUGGCUGCUGUGUCACAUGUGCGUCAGUAGGUGGCAGAGGAGAGAAGCUAUGUCUACACUCCUAUGCCCUAUGGACAUAUGAAUGAUUAGUAGCCUAACAUU
Molecule: small nucleolar RNA, 126 nt
Organism: Acomys russatus (golden spiny mouse)
Lineage: Eukaryota; Metazoa; Chordata; Mammalia; Rodentia; Muridae
Product: small nucleolar RNA SNORA17
Exons: 1
Source: RefSeq, a predicted model, not a curated record